This 559-nucleotide ribosomal RNA is filed under the name uncultured bacterium. RNAcentral describes it as "bacterial SSU rRNA". It matches the Rfam family "Bacterial small subunit ribosomal RNA", at positions 119 to 674 of the family's 1533-position model. The record is from RNAcentral.
CGGAAUCUGCCUAUUUGUGGGGGAUAACGUAGGGAAACUUACGCUAAUACCGCAUACGACCUACGGGUGAAAGCGGAGGACCUUCGGGCUUCGCGCAGAUAGAUGAGCCGAUGUCGGAUUAGCUAGUUGGCGGGGUAAAGGCCCACCAAGGCGACGAUCCGUAGCUGGUCUGAGAGGAUGAUCAGCCACACUGGAACUGAGACACGGUCCAGACUCCUACGGGAGGCAGCAGUGGGGAAUAUUGGACAAUGGGCGCAAGCCUGAUCCAGCCAUGCCGCGUGGGUGAAGAAGGCCUUCGGGUUGUAAAGCCCUUUUGUUGGGAAAGAAAAGCAGUCGGUUAAUACCCGAUUGUUCUGACGGUGCCCAAAGAAUAAGCACCGGCCAACUUCGUGCCAGCAGCCGCGGUAAUACGAAGGGUGCAAGCGUUACUCGGAAUUACUGGGCGUAAAGCGUGCGUAGGUGGUUUGUUAAGUCUGAUGUGAAAGCCCUGGGCUCAACCUGGGAAUUGCAUUGGAUACUGGCAGGCUAGAGUGCGGUAGAGGGUAGUGGAAUUCCCGGU